Molecule: ribosomal RNA, 433 nt
Filed under: uncultured bacterium
Lineage: Bacteria
Description: partial 16S ribosomal RNA
Rfam family: Bacterial small subunit ribosomal RNA
Source: RNAcentral
AACGAACGCUGGCGGCAGGCCUAACACAUGCAAGUCGAGCGAGGACUUCGGUCCUAGCGGCGGACGGGUGAGUAACGCGUGGGAACGUGCCCUUUGCUUCGGAAUAGCCCUGGGAAACUGGGAGUAAUACCGGAUGAGCCCUUUGGGGGAAAGAUUUAUCGGCGAAGGAUCGGCCCGCGUUGGAUUAGGUAGUUGGUGGGGUAAUGGCCUACCAAGCCGACGAUCCAUAGCUGGUUUGAGAGGAUGAUCAGCCACACUGGGACUGAGACACGGCCCAGACUCCUACGGGAGGCAGCAGUGGGGAAUCUUAGACAAUGGGGGAAACCCUGAUCUAGCCAUGCCGCGUGAGCGAUGAAGGCCUUAGGGUUGUAAAGCUCUUUCAGCUGGGAAGAUAAUGACGGUACCAGCAGAAGAAGCCCCGGCUAACUACGUG